UCCGGUUUGUCACCGGCGGUCUCCUUAGAGUUCCCACCAUUACGUGCUGGCAACAUAGGAUAAGGGUUGCGCUCGAUGCGGGACUUAACCCAACAUCUCACGACACGAGCUGACGACAGCCAUGCACCACCUGCACACCGGCCACAAGGGAAACCCCAUCUCUGAGGCGAUCCGGCGCAUGUCAAGCCCAGGUAAGGUUCUUCGCGUUGCAUCGAAUUAAUCCACAUGCUCCGCCGCUUGUGCGGGCCCCCGUCAAUUCCUUUGAGUUUCAGUCUUGCGACCGUACUCCCCAGGCGGCGAACUUAACGCGUUAGCUUCGAUACUGAAGGCCUGAUUGCCCCCAACAUCCAGUUCGCAUCGUUUACGGCGUGGACUAC
This 377-nucleotide unclassified non-coding RNA is filed under the name uncultured bacterium. RNAcentral describes it as "contains 16S-23S intergenic spacer region". The record is from RNAcentral.